CAGAGAGCUGUGAAAUGUUGACCUGAAAAUAAGACAACCCUGAUUAUAAGACGACCCCUAUUUCAGGACUAGUUUAAAGUAAAAGACUUAUGAGGACAAAAUCUGGUUUAUAAAAAGAAAACAAUCCUGUUACGUGUGAGGCCGGCUCAGAAGAGCCUCCUGUCUGGUCUCUUUCUCUCUCUCUCUCUGCAUGUAGGGAAGUCUGGGAACAAGAUGGCUGCAUGCCCUUCCAUGUGACAUGUGGAGAGUAUGGCCCAAUCCCAAACCGACCCCUACACACUCCGCCUUCACUACCGAGUGUCACCCGUAAUGAAGUUACACUCACAGCUGUGGAGUGCGCCUCAAUUGAAAUGGGACGGUAUAAACAAGACGGGCGGGUAUGGGACGCCCUCCUCACUCCACUGGAAAACUGAAAGAUUCAUCGCCAUAGCAACAUAAAGACGCGUCCUGUCAUAAAUCCAGUAACCAUUACAGUGACAGGAGCUAAAUUAUACCUCUGAUUGUCAGUGAUUCCACAUGUCUUUGAACCCCUUUACUAUUUGACAUGUGCCUGUGUGGCACGAGGUGUUUUCCAAGACAGCAAGACAUUGGGACAACUUAGCAUUUACCACUUACCCCCCAUUUUUCCAUCUUUCAAAGGUUAUUAUCAUUAUUAGUUUUAUACACAUAAUAUACUACACACACACACACACACACACACACAACAAGAACAGGAUGAAACCAUUUUUUGUUACCUGUUGGUUAUGGUUUGCACUGUUGAAUUUCUGUGUACACGGUGGGGACAUCUCGUCAGCAGAGGGCGCUGUGUGCACGCGCUCUCCAUGGCUGACCCUCUCAGUACAAUCGAGUGAGAAGCCAGACGGAAAGAUUGUAAACACGGUCAUAAGAACUGGAGCCGUAUGCACGUUGCUUGGCAAAACGCGUUUAGCGGGCUAAAUGCGUUUAACUCCUAAACGCCAAAAAUGUCGGUAUGCACAUCACUUGGUAUAGCCGUACCUAUGCGGAUUUUCGCGUUUAAAGUUAUCGCACCUCUGGGGGUCCAAUAGCGGGUCUAAACGCGUUUAAAUAUGGCGGCACUCUUGUUGUUCCAAGGAAGACAGCGGCGACAAUUGCGUCGAAACAGGAUUUUUCGUGACAGAAAACACCCCUUCGACACGUAUGACAACCACGAAGUGUUCCGUAAGAAUAAUAAUAAAAGUAGGCCUACAUUUACAUUUCCUGAAGGUGUAAUACUAAUGGCAUGCACAGAGCCAAUGACCAAAAUUUAAAAAAAACUCACCUGCCACACCAGUAAACAAAUUCGAUUUUUCCCCGAUGAUACCCAGAAUAAUUUCCUCAUAGUGUGACAGCCGGGGGCGGGGUUAACAGAAAAUGGUAUCUAGAAGAAGAUGUAGUGAAAUACUGUAACCCCUAUUUACCAAUCAACUACUGGUUACUGAUUACAAAUUGAUUUUUGUUGCUGACAACGCCACCCCAGGAAUUUCACCUGGAGAGUAUAAAUUACCCCUGAGUAUAAAACUAGGGCACACACAGGUUCGUCUGCUAGUGAAGACGGGAGGCCGUGGUCCAGUGUACAAAUAUGUUUAAAUUUUAUUUGACAAUUUUCACCAAAAACAAAGUUAAUAAAAUAUUUUUUCGCUCAUUCAUCCGCACUCAUUCACACACAAACACACACACACUUCUAUAGCAACAAUAUUGCCUAUAAAAUUGUUGUGCAAAUAGCAAAUCCUGGUUGAAUCAACAAUAACCACAAAUACCAAAAUAAAGAAAACUAGCAAGCAAAAAAAGAAGAAAGAUAACUCAAAAUAUUUAGAAAUAACCAAACCAAACAAACAUGCAAAUAAACCAAAUACUAAUAACUAACAAAACAAAGUACUCAAACUGGAGAAACAAAACACAAAACACUCAAAUCACAAAAUAAUAUCAAAUGAUUUAAACCAUAAUAGACUAAAUGCCAACAAAAUGAGGAAGCUGAGGCAACAGGUUACCAAAAUAAAACUUCGUCCCAAGGGUGUUGACGUCACCUCACAUGAAGCAGAACGCCAUCGGAUGAAAGUUAGAUAGCGAUAGUGACGGCCUUACCAACGGCGAUGAGACAGGAGUACAGUAAAGCAGGCAGAAGCUGUAGCAGAAACAACCACAGCAGCAGCACAGGAGCAAACCAGCAGCCCAGAAGCCGACAGCAGCACAGAAGCAGACCAGCAGCACCGAAGCAGACCAGCAGCCCAGAAGCAGAACAGCAGCACAGCCGAUAGCAGCCCGAGAGGAGGGAGGAGAGUUUAGGGCAGCCCGACCGGCUCACACACACAAAACCUAAUGUGAGAAAAAUAUAAUUUAGCACCACGGCUUGAUAAGGAUCGCAUGAGUUGCAGUCAUUUAAAACACAUACCGUCAGAAAGUUGAAUGAACCUCACUAGGGCGAGGGAACGAGGCACCCGAAGCGCCACAGAACUAUCAAUGGCCAAUCAGCUGAUCAACCCCAGCUGUGUGGGGAUACAGGAAGACACACUUUGGGUCCCGCAAUCGGUUCGAUGCAGGAGAGAGAAGACCCAGUGAGGAACUGUUGGAGACAAAUACCAACCCUGACGGCAACCGCAAAACUUUUAAAGCGCUGUAAAGCGAUGUAUGGAAAGUAUGUGAUUGGCAUACCAGGAGCAGCGAACUGAGCACACAGACAAUCCGGCAGCGAGGCGAUCAGGUACGGUGACCAGGUGCUGUGAUUAGGGAGGCAGCAGAGCUGACAAGAGCUCGGAGCAGAGGGAGAGGGCUCCCAGGGAGCAAGCACCCACAUUUAUAGACUAUGCCCCCUGAAGGCAUAGGCCGAGACUGCAACCUAAUCAAUGUACAGCUGGGCUGUCAGCCCAUACUGCCACAUUCUACCCCCGGCAAUUGAAUCGUCUCCCGACGAUUGAACGACUAACACUACGGAAUGGCACUACUAGUCCCAUGGCCGAUAGAAUGCUGUAACGGCACUGGACACUGGAGCAGGGGGUAAACCCUGUACGGGCCUCGGAAGGUGAUGCACAUUUAAAUGGUGACCAGCCGUUGACCUGGCUGACCGGCGGACUGCACCUUCACCAGAAUGACUGGUUGAGGGACCCACCAAAGGAACUGCAGGGACCUCUGCAGUAGCAGCAGGGGUGAUGCUGGAAGGCCCUGGAUCAAUGUGGUCCGGCGGGGGCAAUAACCGAGGGGUGGUUUGAGUAACCACAGCUGUAUGAGCAGGGGUGGUGAUAGGGAUUCCUGGGCCCAAGACAAACAGGUCCCCAUCACAUGAGUGUUCAUCAUCUGAUGGAGGAUGAUCGGGAGAAGGGGAGGAUAGGGAAACUGCACCUCCCUGAAGGGCAGCUCCGGCCACAGGUUUCAACAGGUUGUGAUGAACCUGCCGAACCUUAGUCUGGUCUCUAGUUGGUGCGAUGGUGUACACAGAACCUCCCUGUUGGGGCGUCCGUAUUACUCUGUACACCACAGGGCCCCACAGAUCCUGAAUUUUGUGGCGUCCCCUCGCACUAUGGUCACGCAACCACACCAGUUGUCCCACCUUUAGUGGGUCUUCUUUGACAUGACGAUCAUGGUUUUUCCCUAGGCGCUCAGCCGCAAGCUUUAUCCUUUCCCGUGCCCCUUCAAAGGCAAGCUGGAGCCGGGUUUGAUGUUCUUGGAUCCACUCAUGGACCUCACCGCUCACAGGUUCUGGAACUCUGCCCAAAAGGAAAUCAACUGGCAACCUGGGUUCUUGCCCGAACAUCAGGUAGAAUGGAGACUCGCCAGUUGACUGAUGGGGGGUUGUGUUAUACGAGUAGAGAACCUGUGGCAGACAGGAGUGCCAAUCUCGUUUCCGUGACACAGGUAAGGCACGCAACAAGUUGUGAAGAGUGCGGUUGAAGCGUUCGCACUGACCGUUACCGGCCGGAUGGUAAGGAGUGGUGCGGGACUUCACGAUACCAUAAAGGACACAGAGCUGUUGAAUGAGGGAACUCUCAAAGUUGCGGCCCUGAUCAGAGUGGACACGAGCAGGAACCCCAAACUUAUAGAACCAUUCCGAAACCAAAA
Molecule: non-coding RNA, 4050 nt
Organism: Xyrichtys novacula (pearly razorfish)
Lineage: Eukaryota; Metazoa; Chordata; Actinopteri; Labriformes; Labridae
Source: the annotation of a GenBank genome assembly